GGGGAAUUUUCCGCAAUGGGCGAAAGCCUGACGGAGCAAUGCCGCGUGGAGGUAGAAGGCCUACGGGUCGUGAACUUCUUUUCCCGGAGAAGAAGCAAUGACGGUAUCUAACCAGAAAGCCACGGCUAACUACGUGCCAGCAGCCGCGGUAAUACGUAGGUGGCAAGCGUUGUCCGGAAUUAUUGGGCGUAAAGCGCGCGCAGGCGGUCUCUUAAGUCUGAUGUGAAAGCCCCCGGCUCAACCGGGGAGGGUCAUUGGAAACUGGGAGACUUGAGGACAGAAGAGGAGAGUGGAAUUCCAAGUGUAGCGGUGAAAUGCGUAGAUAUUUGGAGGAACACCAGUGGCGAAGGCGGCUCUCUGGUCUGUUACUGACGCUGAGGCGCGAAAGCGUGGGGAGCAAACA
RNAcentral lists this ribosomal RNA (403 nucleotides) under uncultured bacterium. Its description in RNAcentral is "bacterial SSU rRNA". It matches the Rfam family "Bacterial small subunit ribosomal RNA", at positions 356 to 774 of the family's 1533-position model. The record is from RNAcentral.